UGCCCAGCAACUCCUAUCCCUACCUUCUCGUGGUACCGGCCGGAAACUAUGAGC
Non-coding RNA from Aedes albopictus (Asian tiger mosquito), 54 nucleotides. The record is from Rfam. NCBI's taxonomy places the organism in Eukaryota, Metazoa, Arthropoda, Insecta, Diptera, Culicidae.